AUAAGACGAGAAGACCCUAUGGAGCUUUAACUAACCAACCCAAAGAGAAUAGAUUUAACCAUUAAGGAAUAACAACAAUCUCCAUGAGUUGGUAGUUUCGGUUGGGGUGACCUCGG
This 116-nucleotide ribosomal RNA is filed under the name Bos taurus (domestic cattle). RNAcentral describes it as "partial 16S ribosomal RNA". The record is from RNAcentral. Lineage: Eukaryota; Metazoa; Chordata; Mammalia; Artiodactyla; Bovidae.